GUUGUGGCUUAGUGGUAGAGUGCUCGCCUAGCAUGCACAAGGCACUGGGUUCAAUUCUCAGCACAACA
Molecule: transfer RNA, 68 nt
Filed under: Marmota monax (woodchuck)
Lineage: Eukaryota; Metazoa; Chordata; Mammalia; Rodentia; Sciuridae
Description: tRNA.Ala
Source: RNAcentral